Molecule: long non-coding RNA, 1035 nt
Filed under: Anas platyrhynchos (mallard)
Lineage: Eukaryota; Metazoa; Chordata; Aves; Anseriformes; Anatidae
Description: lncRNA (ENSAPLG00020009526.1)
Source: RNAcentral
CGGAUAUUCUAUGAUUCUAUGAUUCUAUGACUUUGAAGUACAGAUACCUUAGAACUUGAUAUUCAUGCAGUUUCCUGGGGUGACAGAAAUGCUGAAACAUCUGGACCCUUGAACAGUGCUACUGACAAGGGCAUUUUCAAAAGCCAAAUCUGUGUAGCUGGGAUAUAUGCUAGAGGGUGGAAUGAUCUUCAGAGUCACCAUAACUGCAAAAAUCAGAAUUAAUUCAUGGACCACCUUGUCAAUCCUCAGAAGUGCUAGGUAAAAAUCUCUAAUUAAUGAUCUUUCUGUCACUGCACAGCAGACAGAAAAAUAUUGGACUAAUCCUAGUAUGAUGUCUUAAUACCAGUUGUCACUGAUGGAGGCUGGAGCUGUUGGAGUACCUGGUCCACCUGCAUCAAUGGUGAAAGCACUCGAACUCGCCAGUGUAAUAAUCCUACACCACAAGAUGGAGGCAGACCAUGCCAAGGAGAAGCCAUUGAAAAACGUCCCUGUUGAGAAGAAAAUGUUCCAAAUCAGAAAUGAUUAUUGGAUUCCAAACCAGUUCUACAAAUCACAGUUUCCAAUAGAUAGCUUGCUACCCAAGAGCAACAGAACACCGUGAAUUAAAAGCACCUGCACCUUAAAUGAUUGCUUAGCAAAACAAAGUAAUAUACCAAUAAAUAUCUUAAUGGAGAAGAGCUGAUGCAGUGGGUGUUGUCCUUUUUUUUUUUUUUUUGUGUCUUCUGCUGUUAUUAGAACAUGAAUCAUCUAUCAUCUAUGUUUGUUAGUUGGUAGCAUAAUAGUCCCCCUUUUUAUUAUUUUCAACAAUUAUUUGGGGUGAAUUCUUUGGGGUGAAUGUUUUCAAACUGAUUUUCAAGAAUUCAAACCCAGCGUGAAUAUCAGAAUAAUGUAUAUAACGUCAUCCAUUUGAUGGUAUACUGUCAGUAAAUAACCUGAGAGAGACUGAGGUAGAAGAGUUGGUAUAAUGCCACCUAUAUUUUUAGCAAAACUCCCGAAAGAGACAAGAGUGAGGCAAUUGUACUACCUAUCAGUAUC